This 635-nucleotide ribosomal RNA is filed under the name Bacillus sp. Se1Pt_376. RNAcentral describes it as "bacterial SSU rRNA". It matches the Rfam family "Bacterial small subunit ribosomal RNA", at positions 378 to 1003 of the family's 1533-position model. The record is from RNAcentral. Lineage: Bacteria; Bacillati; Bacillota; Bacilli; Caryophanales; Bacillaceae.
GAAGUCUGACGGAGCAACGCCGCGUGAGUGAUGAAGGUUUUCGGAUCGUAAAGCUCUGUUGUUAGGGAAGAACAAGUGCCGUUCAAAUAGGGCGGCACCUUGACGGUACCUAACCAGAAAGCCACGGCUAACUACGUGCCAGCAGCCGCGGUAAUACGUAGGUGGCAAGCGUUGUCCGGAAUUAUUGGGCGUAAAGGGCUCGCAGGCGGUUUCUUAAGUCUGAUGUGAAAGCCCCCGGCUCAACCGGGGAGGGUCAUUGGAAACUGGGGAACUUGAGUGCAGAAGAGGAGAGUGGAAUUCCACGUGUAGCGGUGAAAUGCGUAGAGAUGUGGAGGAACACCAGUGGCGAAGGCGACUCUCUGGUCUGUAACUGACGCUGAGGAGCGAAAGCGUGGGGAGCGAACAGGAUUAGAUACCCUGGUAGUCCACGCCGUAAACGAUGAGUGCUAAGUGUUAGGGGGUUUCCGCCCCUUAGUGCUGCAGCUAACGCAUUAAGCACUCCGCCUGGGGAGUACGGUCGCAAGACUGAAACUCAAAGGAAUUGACGGGGGCCCGCACAAGCGGUGGAGCAUGUGGUUUAAUUCGAAGCAACGCGAAGAACCUUACCAGGUCUUGACAUCCUCUGACAAUCCUAG